This is a long non-coding RNA of Hydra vulgaris (swiftwater hydra), 1328 nucleotides long. RefSeq lists it as uncharacterized. The record is from RefSeq and is a predicted model, not a curated record. Lineage: Eukaryota; Metazoa; Cnidaria; Hydrozoa; Anthoathecata; Hydridae.
UAGGUCUUUUCCUUUUUUUAACGACGUUAUGGUAAUUUGCUUAAAUAUCGCGUACUUUUGAAAAAAAACUGUUUGUUAUGAAAGUUAGUGAUAAAAGUAUUAAUAUAUUGAAACAGUUUGCAUCACGAGAAAAAGUGGUUUAAUAUCAUUAAAACAGGUUGUAUCACGCGAAGAAGUGGUUUUACGAGAAGCGAAACAGUUUGUAUCAUGCGAAGAAGUGGACGAAAGAUUUAUUUUAGUUACAAUAGUCAACACAAACAAAUCGUUAGUUAUCGGGGUGUCAUUGGUGGUGCCAACAUUAAAGAUAUGACAAGGAGAAUAUUAACAGCUUUGAUGUUUUAGCUGGUGAAUUAAAUUUCAUGGAACAUAGGGAAAAACAUGCCUUUUCAGACCUUAUGGUGCCCCAAGAAAUCCUUACGGUCUUAUCACAGAGCACCGCAGAUGAGCAUUUAAUUGGAAGUUCACGCCUCCUUCCUAACCGAUGUCGCAGAACUUGCCCAGAGGUAGGGUUUGAACCAAAGAUCCUUGGUUCCUGAGUAACGUUACGAAACAAUUUUUUGAUGGUUUACUUCAGUGGCCCAUAAUAUGGAAAUUGUCUGGUGCAAAAGGAAAGCUUCUUUAACGACUAAAGAAAGAUUAGAAGAGGUAGGAAUAAAUUGCACUAUUACUUCUUUUUAUGCAAGAUUUUUGUCUCACCAGCUUCUCUUAGCACUACCUCUAUUGUUAAAAAUACAUCUUUUGCUAGCCCUGCAACUAUUGCUACUACAGCAUCUUUACUAGAUACUACUUUAACAUUUAGUGGUUUUCGACAACACUUUUAUCUCUUGCUGAUCCUGUUAAUACAGCUACUAAUUAUUCAUCUGUUGGCUCUACAUUUACUGCUACUUUGGCAAUCUUGAGUUUACUUCAUGCAUAAAAAAUAUUUUUGAAUAACAAAUUACUAUUUAAACUUUAUAUGAAAUUACGUUGAAAAAAAUUGAAAUUGGUACUACCAAUUCAUUGAGUAACUUAAUUUGUAUAAAACUAUUCUAAAUAUUAUUUGAUUUAUGUUAUUGUAUUUAUAAUAUUUAAGCGAUUUGCAUCCCAUGAACAACGGACCCAUGCAUAGGGCCGUAAAUACGUAGAUCUCCCAUAUAAAGGUUUGAAUCUCCGUUUGUUACCGUUUUUACAAUUAGUUAUAGUGUGAGAAUUUAAAGUUUAAUAAAUGUUUUAUUAUAAAUGUUUUAAUAAUAAGUUUAAUAAAUAAAGUUUAAUAAAUAAAAAAUUGGAGAAAGAUAAUGGAACCCUUAAAACAAUACCUCUCAAUACAUAAGAGAUAGGUAUUACAA